RNAcentral lists this transfer RNA (73 nucleotides) under Ailuropoda melanoleuca (giant panda). It matches the Rfam family "tRNA". From Rfam's summary of the family: Transfer RNA (tRNA) molecules are approximately 80 nucleotides in length. The record is from Rfam by way of RNAcentral. Lineage: Eukaryota; Metazoa; Chordata; Mammalia; Carnivora; Ursidae.
GCUUGACUGGCUCAGCCAGUAGAGCAUGUGACUCUUGAUCUUGGGGUCGUGAGUUCAAGUUCCAUGUUGGGCA